This 860-nucleotide ribosomal RNA is filed under the name uncultured marine bacterium. RNAcentral's name for it is "bacterial SSU rRNA". It matches the Rfam family "Bacterial small subunit ribosomal RNA", at positions 9 to 916 of the family's 1533-position model. The record is from RNAcentral.
GGAGUUUGAUCCUGGCUCAGAACGUACGCUGGCGGCACGCCUAACACAUGCAAGUCGAACGAAGUAGCAAUACUUAGUGGCAGACGGGUGAGUAACAUGUAGGUAUCUGCCCUUUGGCCUGGAAUAACACGAGGAAACUUGUGCUAAUACCGGAUAAGUCUUUACGGAGAAAGCUUUAUGCACCAUUGGAUGAGCCUGCACUUGAUUAGUUUGUUGGUGGGGUAAUGGCCUACCAAGACUGUGAUCAAUAGCUGAUUUGAGAGGAUGAUCAGCCACAUUGGGACUGAGACACGGCCCAAACUCCUACGGGAGGCAGCAGUGGGGAAUCUUGCACAAUGGAGGAAACUCUGAUGCAGCGAUGCCGCGUGAGUGAAGAAGGCCCUUGGGUUGUAAAGCUCUUUCGUCGGGGAAGAAAAUGACUGUACCCGAAUAAGAAGGUCCGGCUAACUUCGUGCCAGCAGCCGCGGUAAUACGAAGGGACCUAGCGUAGUUCGGAAUUACUGGGCUUAAAGAGUUCGUAGGUGGUUGAAAAAGUUGGUGGUGAAAUCCCAGAGCUUAACUCUGGAACUGCCAUCAAAACUUUUCAGCUAGAGUAUGAUAGAGGAAAGCAGAAUUUCUAGUGUAGAGGUGAAAUUCGUAGAUAUUAGAAAGAAUACCAAUUGCGAAGGCAGCUUUCUGGAUCAUUACUGACACUGAGGAACGAAAGCAUGGGUAGCGAAGAGGAUUAGAUACCCUCGUAGUCCAUGCCGUAAACGAUGUGUGUUAGACGUUGGAAAUUUAUUUUCAGUGUCGCAGCGAAAGCGAUAAACACACCGCCUGGGGAGUACGACCGCAAGGUUAAAACUCAAAGGAAUUGACGG